Meriones unguiculatus (Mongolian gerbil) is the source of this 439-nucleotide long non-coding RNA. The record is from Ensembl. NCBI's taxonomy places the organism in Eukaryota, Metazoa, Chordata, Mammalia, Rodentia, Muridae.
CGCGGCCACAGCCAAAGCCAGCCCCGGGCGGGCGCCGGGAGCCCCGGCCGGAAGGCAAGCGAGGCGCGGGGAGUCCGCCGGCCGCGACCGCGCAGGGACCAGGGAUCCGAUUGCCUUCCUUGACAUUAUAGCAUCCACAGAAGAAAGGGCAGGGCGUACGUCUCAGUCUUCCUUUAGGCUGGUUACUUUGGUGGACACAGACUUGUCACUGCAGUGUAGAUCCCAACCAUCAGGCUGUCUUUCUCAAGUGUGAGGUUGACAGAGAAAACGGCAAAUGACAUCAAUGACCAGGUGUCCGUAUAAAGCAGCUGAUUUGGAAAACGGUUCCUUUGAGGCCUGUUUGGGUGAGAAUCACUGAGAUCACAAAAAAGGAAGCAGCUGGUAAGUUCUGGAAACCUUUUUAUAUAGGCCCAGAAUUUGAAUAAUGCACUAAAUGGCG